This is a long non-coding RNA of Marmota monax (woodchuck), 1587 nucleotides long. RefSeq lists it as uncharacterized. NCBI's taxonomy places the organism in Eukaryota, Metazoa, Chordata, Mammalia, Rodentia, Sciuridae. The record is from RefSeq and is a predicted model, not a curated record. The transcript is spliced from 2 exons.
UGACCUGACAAGAAACAUAACAGUCAGAGACCAGAACAUUCCAGGUACCAUCCAGCACCUGCUCACUGGAGUCUCAGCCUUGAUGAUUGUCCCUCACUGACCCUGAUGUCCAUUCUCCCUCCCCCGCCCAGGCCCUUGUCCCUAGCCUCAGAGAUGCUGUUCCCAUCUACCAGGAAUUACUAAACCCUGACGUGGACAGCUACUGCUGGGUCCAUAGCCAAGCUCAUGUGGAUUCUUAGUUCCCACCAGACAAUGCUGCAUAUGGGCUGAGGGAGGGUCCCACUAGAACCCCAGACCCUCUAUGGUGGCGCCUGAGCCCUGGGAGACUCUGGCACCUGGAGGAGGUGGGGUUCCCUGGGUUUCUGGAGACCCAGACAGGCUGCCCUGGGCUCUGAAUGGCCAGAACUAGGCUGCCCGUGCCCAGGAGCAGGGGCUCCAGGGAGAGGGAAGGGCCCCUAUAGGUCACCUGGAAAGGCGCUGAAUAAAGACCCCCUUCCCUCCUUUGCUCUUUUGGUUCAUAUGGGAACGUCUCUUGGCAGACACUCUCCUCAAGUUCCAGGUCAGCUCUCUCCUGUGUCACGCAGGGGAAUCAUGGUCUCUAAGUUGCUCCCACAGGGUUCCUCUUCCUGGGAGACAGGAGCUGGGAGGUGGGAGCCAGGGCAAAGGUCAGAUCUGUCCACAGGGAAGGGUGAAGGUCCCAAGGCCCUGCAGCCAGCAGAGCACUCAGUGGCCCUCACACUCCAGGGACCCAUGGUGGCUGACUGUGGCCACUGAUUUCUUUCCUACUCAAAGGCCAGUACUCAGGACAUCUUCGCUUCUUCUGGGACAUGGGACUGUCAGAGUAAUCAGGGGACAGGGCCAGACCCAAACUCAGGCCCUGAACAAGGGCCUCAGGCAUUGCCCGAGGCUCCAGCCCUGCCCUCCCAUCACCUUCCCUGCCUGGUGUCUCCUCUGCACACUCCAGCACCCAGGGCAGAGGCUCAGGGCUCCCCACAUGGGGCUCUCCAGAUUCCAUGGUGAUGGGACAAAGGGUCUCCUCCCUGACCUGGGGCCCAGAAUGUCCACUGCAGUCUCUUCCACAUACUUGGACCACUGCUCUGACUCCUUCCCUGAAGACUGGGAAGCGUGACGUUUUCCUGUAGGUUCACUUGGAUCAGGCCAUCACUUUUCUGGAUAUUAAGAGGUCAAUGUACUAAAGCUCAGGGACACUCUCCUAAUGCCAAGAACUGUCUGUGCUGAGAUGAGAAGUAGGAAGAGACCCUCGGAGUGUCCAGCCUGACUCAUCUCUAGUGAGGCUCCUCUGCAUGAACACAGCAUCACGUCACACACGGUGACUGCUCUCGCCUUGGUGUCCUGGUGCUCUUGGUACAGACUAACUCCCACACAGUGGCUCCGAACAGCAGAUACCAAGGUGUCCAUUAGCAGCAUUCUUCUGUUGGCUCCACGGGAAUCAGUUUCCUCACCUUUUCCAGCUUCUAGCUUCCCUGGCCUGUGGGCCCGACUCCAUCUUUGAAGAAAGCAAGUGGCCCCUGAAGGCUGUCUGCUCUGCUUCUGCCCCACACCUCUGGCUUCUUCUGUCUGUCCUGC